This is a long non-coding RNA of Solea senegalensis (Senegalese sole), 1160 nucleotides long. RefSeq lists it as uncharacterized. The transcript has 2 exons. The record is from RefSeq and is a predicted model, not a curated record. Lineage: Eukaryota; Metazoa; Chordata; Actinopteri; Pleuronectiformes; Soleidae.
ACGUCUACGGCAGUGACAGUGCUAAUAUAACCUGUACAUGUCUCCAGCAGAACGCUUGGUAGUUUUUGACCUGUGUGGUUUGGGUUCCCCAGCCAGGUUGAUGUCUACGGGGACAAAAAAAGACAGAGAGGAGUCAAUCUGGGAGCAAACAUUGUGGGUGUUUGCAGCCCGAGCGUUCCUCUCGUUGGAGUAUUGAACAAAUGCGUAGCCCUUGUGGACGGAGCAGCCGACGAUCUUGCCAUACUUGGAGAAGAUGGCCUCGACGUCUCCUUUGGUCACCAGCAGAGUGUUGAGGUUGCCAAUGAAAACCCGUGAGUUGAGGGAGCGUGGGUCCGUCUUGUUGGUGACGUUGCUGCUGGCCAUCAGGCUGGAGGUGGUGGGUGAACGACUGGUAGAAGACAGAAGAAACAUAGACAAAACCCACAUUUAGUGGCGUGAAUGAGCAACGCGCACCCCAGUGAAGUAGUGGAGAGUCUGUGAACCUGGAUAAAUGGAGAGCAGGAUUUUCUGUCAAACCUAGACCGUUAAAUCAAAAAUAAACUUGUGCUGAUGAUAAAGGAGCCAUGUGUCCACACCUAUGUUUAUCUGGAAGCUUUGAAAUGAAUCAAAGUAUAGUUAAUAUGCCAUGGCUACAAGCAUGGCUUUGUAAUUUAAAUCUAUUACUGGUAUUAAAAGAAACAAUGGAAACCAUCAAGGAACCGCAUCUUAAGUUACUAAAACAAUCAAAUGAUUGUUUUAGUUACCUAGAUUAUACAGGAAGCAUUUUCUGUUCAGGGUCUGCAAUAAAGCCAAACACUGUCUGUGCCAUUUCAGCACAUUUAUCAUACUUGCGGAAAAAUCACAAGAAAGAGGAAGUAAAUGUAUAAAAAGCAGAAAAACCUAUUAGUGUGAAAGUUUAUUUAGUUAAGUAAUGUUUGGUGUGGGGCUAAUGUUGCUAUCAGGACUCUGAUAAAGAGACUCAUGCCCUGCCCUUUGUAUUACAUUAUUUACAUAUGCCAAUUUUAGAGUUGCUAUGGAAGCAUGUUCAGUUGAACAGGGUAAAUAUUUUCCUUUUUGUGUCAAAUAAUCCAAAAUAAAGCCACAAAGCUGGAGGUCAAAUAAACCAUCUGUACCGAGUGAGACACUCGGGUGUCAAUAAUAAAUUCUGGGUUUAUAUGAGA